CUACGGGUUGCUGCAGUGGGGAAUAUUGCACAAUGGGCGCAAGCCUGAUGCAGCCAUGCCGCGUGUAUGAAGAAGGCCUUCGGGUUGUAAAGUACUUUCAGCGGGGAGGAAGGGAGUAAAGUUAAUACCUUUGCUCAUUGACGUUACCCGCAGAAGAAGCACCGGCUAACUCCGUGCCAGCAGCCGCGGUAAUACGGAGGGUGCAAGCGUUAAUCGGAAUUACUGGGCGUAAAGCGCACGCAGGCGGUUUGUUAAGUCAGAUGUGAAAUCCCCGGGCUCAGCCUGGGAACUGCAUCUGAUACUGGCAAGCUUGAGUCUCGUAGAGGGGGGUAGAAUUCCAGGUGUAGCGGUGAAAUGCGUAGAGAUCUGGAGGAAUACCGGUGGCGAAGGCGGCCCCCUGGACGAAGACUGACGCUCAGGUGCGAACGCGUGGGGAGCAAACAGGAUUAGAUACCCGUGUAGUC
RNAcentral lists this ribosomal RNA (464 nucleotides) under uncultured bacterium. Its description in RNAcentral is "partial 16S ribosomal RNA". It matches the Rfam family "Bacterial small subunit ribosomal RNA", at positions 339 to 795 of the family's 1533-position model. The record is from RNAcentral.